GACGAACGCUGGCGGCGUGCUUAACACAUGCAAGUCGAACGGAAAGGCCCUGCUUUUGUGGGGUGCUCGAGUGGCGAACGGGUGAGUAACACGUGAGUAACCUGCCCUUGACUUUGGGAUAACUUCAGGAAACUGGGGCUAAUACCGGAUAGGAGCUCCUGCUGCAUGGUGGGGGUUGGAAAGUUUCGGCGGUUGGGGAUGGACUCGCGGCUUAUCAGCUUGUUGGUGGGGUAGUGGCUUACCAAGGCUUUGACGGGUAGCCGGCCUGAGAGGGUGACCGGCCACAUCGGGACUGAGAUACGGCCCAGACUCCUACGGGAAGCAGCAGUGGGGAAUAUUGCACAAUGGGCGGAAGCCUGAUGCAGCAACGCCGCGUGCGGGAUGACGGCCUUCGGGUUGUAAACCGCUUUCGCCUGUGACGAAGCGUGAGUGACGGUAAUGGGUAAAGAAGCACCGGCUAACUACGUG
This 468-nucleotide ribosomal RNA is filed under the name uncultured bacterium. RNAcentral's name for it is "partial 16S ribosomal RNA". It matches the Rfam family "Bacterial small subunit ribosomal RNA", at positions 28 to 507 of the family's 1533-position model. The record is from RNAcentral.